UGGACAAGAUCUUUUUUUCUAAAAUGCUAGCAAAACAGAUAAACAUUAUUAAAGAGAUUCCUAAGGCCACACGUGGUGGCUCACGCCUGUAAUCCUAGAACUUUGGGAGGCCAAGGCAGGCGGAUAACCCAAGGUCAGGAGUUCGAGACCAGUCUGGCCAACAUGGUGAAACCUUGUCUCUACUAAAAAUACAAAAAAUUAGCCUGCGUGGUGGUGGGUUCCUGUAAUCCCCGCUGUCUGCGAGGCUGAGGUAGCAGAAUUGCUUGAACCAAGAAGGCGAGGUUGCAGUGAGCUGAGAUCAUGCCACUGCACUCCAGCCUAGGUGACUGAGUGAAAAUCCAUAUCAGAAAAAAAAGAAAAAAAUUAGCAGGGCAUGCCUGUAAUCCCAGCUUCCUGAAUCACAAGAAUUACUUGAGCCCAGGUGGCGGAGCUUGCAGUGAGCCGAGAUCAUGCCACAGCACUCCAGCCUGGUUGACAGAGCCAGAUCCUGUCAAAAAAAAAAGAAAAGAGAUGCCUACAUUGCCUUGCAGGUUUCUGAGUGAACAUCCAGUUUAUUGAUUCCCAGCACUGGAAUCCGAGCAACCCACUGCGCCAGCCAAAGCAGCAGUGUUAAGACUGACGGUGCUCUUCUGCCUGAUAUUCUCCGGUCUGGCUUCCUUCUUGAGUCCGUAAUAAGCGGCUCUGCCUUCCCGGAGCUCCAAACGUUGGUCGGGGGGAACCAGUCCCGUUUACUCUGCACGAAGAGCUGCCACGCCGAGGCGCCGGCAAAACUGCUGCGCCGGCCACGAGAGUUGCGCUGGCGACCCAUGGGGCUCCUCCACUGGGAAUCUUCUGGUCCUUGAGCAACGAAAAUUCGUCUGAAAGUGUGGCAUCCUCUCGUUAUCUGCGCUUUCACUGGAAGCUACAAUCCCGAGCUGUUAGCAAUCAGCCAUCUUGGAUCUUCAAAAAUAAAAAGAAGAGACCCAGUUUCAAAAAAAAAAAAUCAUAUUAAGGAUGAUAUUUUUUUCUGUCUUCAAACUUUCUGAAAUAAUACUUUCAUUAUAUUAGUAGAUUAUAUCAAGCAAAUAUAUACAAAGUAAAUAAUUUUGAAAAAGUACAAAGUAUAUUAGUAUAUUUUUCUUUUUUUUGGAAACUAAAUUUGGGAUAUUAAUUGAGUUUCCUGGAUUGUUAUAACUUUUUUUUUUUGAGGUGGGGUCUUGUUCUGUCACCCAGGUUGGAAUGCAGUGGUGUGAUAUUGGCUUACUACAACCUCUGCCUUUCAGGUUCAAGUAAUUCUCCUGCCUCAGCCUCCUGAGUAGCUGGGAUUACAGGUGCCUGCCACAGUGUCCCGCUAAUUUUUGUAUUUUGAGUAGAGACGGGGUUGGCCAGACUGGUCUCUAGCUCCUGACCUCAAGUGAUCCACCUACCUCAGCCUCCCAAAGUGCUGGGAUUAUAGGCGUGAGUCACUGUGCCUGGCCUGUUAAAACAUUUGAGAAGAAAAAUUUUACACUAAAAGAGUUCCUAUAGAAUAAUUCAGACCAUUUAAUUUUACAGAAUCCCUGUGAAGUGAAAGACCUGGUUAAAGGUGGUGGCUUAGCUGAAAUUGCUUCUCUUGACAAUUACAACAGAGUUUUCUCUUGGACUGCGGUUCCUAAUCUAGAAUCUAGAAGGCAUAUGAAGUCUCCUUUUAAAGUUCCUAAAAUUUUAUACACUUAGACAUUUUAGUGGCCCUACAUUAAGAAGAUAUGUAAUGUCAAAAUGUCAUGGUUACAGUAAUAUAUUAAAAUGGAUGUUUCUGUUAAUUAAACACAGUAAUAUCUAAAUACAGACAAAAAUAUGUCAUAGUUGUCACAGCUACAGACAGUGUUUCCCAUACAUAAUGUGUUUUCACAUAGUAUGCCAUACUCUAAAAAUUUUAAUACAUUGCCGACCGUGAAAUUCUGAAAAAGUCUUUCUGGUUGGCCUGCUGCACUGGAUGUAAAUGUGUGAUCAUAUUCAUACCCUUCAGGUUGGGAAUCACUGUUGUGUAUUCUUUCUUGUAGAUUAGAACACCACUUCUGGGUUCAUGGCUUGCCUGUACUUCUCUUAGAAUACUAAGAAAUAUAAUUUUGUUAAAGCUUCUUGUGAAGCAUUGGCUUACGUGGAUUAUAUGAGAUUGGCCUGAAUGUGUGCUGCCUCCUUACAUAUUCUAGAAACGAUUUAAUCAUUUUUAGUUUAUCCUCUCUCUCUCCCUCUUUCUCUCCCUCUUCUCUCUCUCUCUGUGUAUUUGUCUGUCUGUCUCUCACGUACACACACACACAUGCCAAAAUAACUCUAUUUCAAAAUAUUUAUGUAGUCAAAAUUUUAAUAUUUGCGAAUCACGUAAUUAUGAAAAAGUCUUUCUGGUUGGGCUGCUGCAUUGGAUGUAGAUGUGAGAUCACAGUCAUCUGUUUAUUUUUGUUCUUUUAUAUUCUAAUUCAAAGUAACAAAGUGUACAUGCAUUGUUUUUACCAAAACAUUUGUGAAAUGAAAUUUUGUGAGAAGUUACUGAGACUGAGGAUUUUUUCUUUUGAAAUUCGUAAAAUAUAUGAUAAACAAAUUCUUGGUAAUUGAUUGCUAUAUGUGGAACCCUAAAUUGAGUGUUUCACUAAAUUACACCAGUGUGGGUUUUAUAAAAAAGGUAGUUUUGCUUCUGCUUUUGAAUUCUAGUAAAUUAUGUUAUGACUAAAAACUGACUUCUCACUAAAAUUGUCAACAUGCAUUAUUGAAUGUAGUGUGUAUUGUUCAUACAGGUACAAGUGUCAUGGUCUAGAUAGAUGUGUAGGCAUCUUGGACUAUGGGGUAACCUGGCCAUUGUUGUUUCAGAAUCUUAGAUUGUCAUAUUUACGUAUUUAAAGAUUAGUCCUUCAGAGAGUUUGAUAAGUAAUGUGAAGGGACAAAUACCACCAGUGUGUAGUAGUUUAACAAAUGUAUACUAGUUUAGCUAUGUAGGGUUUUGUUCUUUGUUGUUGUCAUAUAUAGUUUGUUGGAAUAAAAAAUGUUUUAUUGAGGUAUGAAUUACUUAGAAUACAGUUUACCAA
Molecule: non-coding RNA, 3038 nt
Organism: Callithrix jacchus (white-tufted-ear marmoset)
Lineage: Eukaryota; Metazoa; Chordata; Mammalia; Primates; Cebidae
Source: RefSeq, a predicted model, not a curated record